AGAGUUUGAUCCUGGCUCAGAUUGAACGCUGGCGGCAUGCCUUACACAUGCAAGUCGAACGGCAGCACGAGAGCUUGCUCUUGGUGGCGAGUGGCGAACGGGUGAGUAAUAUAUCGGAACGUACCCUAGAGUGGGGGAUAACGUAGCGAAAGUUACGCUAAUACCGCAUACGAUCUACGGAUGAAAGUGGGGGAUCGCAAGACCUCAUGCUCAUGGAGCGGCCGAUAUCUGAUUAGCUAGUUGGUGGGGUAAAAGCUCACCAAGGCGACGAUCAGUAGCUGGUCUGAGAGGACGACCAGCCACACUGGAACUGAGACACGGUCCAGACUCCUACGGGAGGCAGCAGUGGGGAAUUUUGGACAAUGGGCGCAAGCCUGAUCCAGCAAUGCCGCGUGAGUGAAGAAGGCCUUCGGGUUGUAAAGCUCUUUUGUCAGGGAAGAAACGGUGGACUCUAAUACAGAUCACUAAUGACGGUACCUGAAGAAUAAGCACCGGCUAACUACGUGCCAGCAGCCGCGGUAAUACGUAGGGUGCAAGCGUUAAUCGGAAUUACUGGGCGUAAAGCGUGCGCAGGCGGUUGUGCAAGACAGAUGUGAAAUCCCCGGGCUCAACCUGGGAAUUACAUUUGUGACUGCACGGCUAGAGUGUGUCAGAGGGGGGUAGAAUUCCACGUGUAGCAGUGAAAUGCGUAGAGAUGUGGAGGAAUACCGAUGGCGAAGGCAGCCCCCUGGGAUAACACUGACGCUCAUGCACGAAAGCGUGGGGAGCAAACAGGAUUAGAUACCCUGGUAGUCCACGCCCUAAACGAUGUCUACUAGUUGUCGGGUCUUAAUUGACUUGGUAACGCAGCUAACGCGUGAAGUAGACCGCCUGGGGAGUACGGUCGCAAGAUUAAAACUCAAAGGAAUUGACGGGGACCCGCACAAGCGGUGGAUGAUGUGGAUUAAUUCGAUGCAACGCGAAAAACCUUACCUACCCUUGACAUGUCUGGAAUCCUUGAGAGAUCAGGGAGUGCUCGAAAGAGAAUCAGAACACAGGUGCUGCAUGGCUGUCGUCAGCUCGUGUCGUGAGAUGUUGGGUUAAGUCCCGCAACGAGCGCAACCCUUGUCAUUAGUUGCUACGAAAGGGCACUCUAAUGAGACUGCCGGUGACAAACCGGAGGAAGGUGGGGAUGACGUCAAGUCCUCAUGGCCCUUAUGGGUAGGGCUUCACACGUCAUACAAUGGUACAUACAGAGGGCCGCCAACCCGCGAGGGGGAGCUAAUCCCAGAAAGUGUAUCGUAGUCCGGAUUGUAGUCUGCAACUCGACUACAUGAGGUUGGAAUCGCUAGUAAUCGCGGAUCAGCAUGUCGCGGUGAAUACGUUCCCGGGUCUUGUACACACCGCCAGUCACACCAUGGGAGCGGGUUUCACCAGAAGUGGGUAGCCUAACCGCAAGGAGGGCGCUCACCACGGUGGGAUUCGUGACUGGGGUGAAGUCGUAACAAGGUA
This 1491-nucleotide ribosomal RNA is filed under the name metagenome. Its description in RNAcentral is "bacterial SSU rRNA". It matches the Rfam family "Bacterial small subunit ribosomal RNA". The record is from RNAcentral.